GUGCCAGCAGCCGCGGUAAGACGAAGGUGGCAAGCGUUGUUCGGAAUCACUGGGCAUAAAGCGCGCGUAGGCGGCUAUGUAAGUCAGGUGUGAAAGCCCUCGGCUCAACCGAGGAACUGCGCCUGAUACUGCAUGGCUUGAGGUCCGGAGGGGAGAGUGGAAUUCCCGGUGGAGCGGUGAAAUGCGUAGAGAUCGGGAAGAACGCCGGCGGCGAAAGCGACUCUCUGGUCGGAAUCUGACGCUGAGGCGCGAAAGCUAGGGGAGCAAACGGGAUUAGAUACCCUUGUAGUCC
Molecule: ribosomal RNA, 292 nt
Filed under: uncultured bacterium
Lineage: Bacteria
Description: partial 16S ribosomal RNA
Rfam family: Bacterial small subunit ribosomal RNA
Source: RNAcentral